This 1793-nucleotide long non-coding RNA is filed under the name Apis florea (little honeybee). Its description in RNAcentral is "uncharacterized LOC116414482, transcript variant X1". Lineage: Eukaryota; Metazoa; Arthropoda; Insecta; Hymenoptera; Apidae. The record is from RNAcentral.
AACACAAAGGAAGGAGAAAGAAUGAAGAAAAAAAAAAAGAAAAAAAGAGGAAAAAAUGAGAGAAAAAGGAAAAAGAAGGAAAAUGUAAUGCCAAAGCAUUACGUACAACAGAGUUUGCGUUUUUGAUUUCGUAAACCAAAAAGGAAAAAAUUACAGUCAUUUAAUUAUCCAGAAAAAAAACUGAUUGACGAUAACCUGCCGGAUUAUAAUAGCAUUCUUCUGUUCACCUCCUUUAUGAGAAUAAACAAAGAGGCCGAUGCGCGGUUGCACUAUGUUGUAUAUACUUAAAGUUUAAGGCGAAGUAAAAGUUCAACGCGACACUGUUUUAUUAACAAACAAAAUUGGAAUGUGAGUGUAAAACAUUUGAUCAAAAAAAAAACCAGGAAGUAAUUUUUUAAUUAAUUAAGGAAUAUAGAAAUUUUCCUUUUCAAGAUAAAAUUCUUCUAAUUAUAUUUAUUAUUUUUAAUUUCUUAAUACUUAAAUGUGAUCCUAAUUAAAUUCUGAAUGUGUUCUCUUUUUUUCAGGAUUUGGAUCAACCAUUUACAUGAAGCAGAUCACAGCGAGCGAUCGCUUAGUCUUGGUAAGACUUUAAGAUUGAGGAGACCGAAAUGUCAGGAGCGAAUGAUUUAAGUCGUGAAGAAGAAAUGAAAAAAAAAUGAAGAAUAAAUGAAGAAAAGGUUAAAAAAGAGGUGAACGAACAAGAAAAUCUAUAAGAUAAAGAUGUUCUAGAUGUUUUCAUGAGAAAAAGAGAGAAAAAAUAUUUAAGAGAGAAUGCAUUUAAGUUUCACAUCUAGAUGCUCCACGAAAUAUGCAGAUCUCUGUGUGAGUUAUUGCCACGGUUGAAAAACUCGGAUGAACUCGUUUCGUGGCAGUGAGAUUUGGCAGUGAGAUCUUUGGUAGAAUAGGAAUGAAACUCGGUUUAGGAGUUCAUAAUGAAACAGAAGAAGAGACAAACAGAAGAUUCAGAGAAAAGAUUGCAUCCGUUUUCUUGUUCUAAUUGACGUUUAAAUGCUAUUUAUGUUUUGGAAAUUUGAAUGGAUUGUGAGAUAUUACAAUAGGAAUACUGAAUUGAUAUUGAAAGGUAUUCAUUACUGACAUAAUGAGAAGUACUAUUAUAUUUACUAGAUUCUAUAUAAUGAUACGUGAAGAUCUUAAAUCGCGCGUCCUCGUUUCAACCGAGAUGCACCGUGAAAAUCACUAGUUUCCUUUUUCGUUAUAAUAAUCAACCGAGUUUGACAUUGACAUUUAACUGACAAUGAUGUAAUUGGUGAUGAAAGGAAGAGACCAAGUGGAACGUAGAAUUCGCACGAGUGCGCGAAUUCAAUGGAAGGUUAUGAAUAUCCGAUCCUCUGUCGAAGUUGCGUGUCAUAGUUAGCCAGCUUCUUCGCGCCGUGACGCCUUUGUCUGUUGCGCAUCCAAGUAGACAUUCCCUCGGUCACGAUGAAAGUGAAAAUCUUCGUUCUAGUCGCGGAUGACCUACUGUUUGCCAAGAAUCUGGGUGCUCCGUCAAACCACGACCAUCUCAUUCCGCCAAUUCCCGUAUCAUGAACCACUUACGAAGAUAAGCUAUUGAUCUGAAUAACUAUACUUUUGAGUAGUCAUUCAUGAUUGAUCUCCUGCCUUAUCUCUUGAAAUUUAACUGUUGGAAAAUUUCUUAGCUAUUCAAAAUGUAUAUAGCAUAAUGUUUCCUUUCUAGAUUUAGAUAUUCAAAAGUUAUCUAUCAAUGCAUAAUUCUUUUUUUUUUUUUUUUGUAAUACUUAAAAGUUAUCUGUUAAUACAUGAUAGUUUUUUUU